Molecule: long non-coding RNA, 7410 nt
Filed under: Sorghum bicolor (sorghum)
Lineage: Eukaryota; Viridiplantae; Streptophyta; Magnoliopsida; Poales; Poaceae
Description: long non-coding RNA (SBIC_LNC002789)
Source: RNAcentral
CUCCUCCUCCGCUCUCCUCUUCUCUCUCCCUAUUUUCUAGAUUACAACUAGAACUAACUAGAACUAGAACUAGAGGAACUAGAACUAGAACUAGAUGAACUAGAACUAGAUCUAGAUGAACUAGAGGUAGAACUAGAAGAACUAGAGGGAUCCUCUCUACUUGGAUGAAGAAUUGAAACCCUAGCUUUGAUUCUGUAGAAGAGGUAUGAUCUCCAGAAGCCAGGGGGCCUUGCUUAUAUAGUCUUUUCAGAUGAAUCUAGGCCGUCGGAUCAAACCGACAUUGAUCGUGUGGUUUUCCUUGAAGUAUUAGGUCGGUGGAGCAUGAUCCCCGAACUUCGCCCUGAUUGGUCAGGGGGGAGGGCGGGCGCCCAGUAAGAGAGGGCGGGCGCCCAGUGCCCGGCUCCGUCACGUCUCCCGUUCGCUCCCGUGGCUUCUAGACUCUUCUAGAUGGCAGAUAUUUGCGCGUCAAGUUAAUAUCCCGUCAUUAACCCGACAUGUGGGUCUCUUUUCCAUAUUUCCUGAUAACCCCUGCAGAAAUAGACAAACACCAAAACUCGUGGAAUUCUGUCAGAUAAAACCCUAAGUCUAGGUGUUGGUUGCAUUUGGAUCCUUUUCCAUUAUUAGUUGAUGGUUAAAUGUGAGCAUUAAGGACCGUCAACAAGCUCCCCCAAGCUUAACCUUUGCUCGUCUCUGAGCAAAACUAAAAUCAGCAAGAAAAUAGGGGUUACUUUUAUGCCUCUUACUACAGGGUUUUAAGGUCUUAAGUGAUUGAAAAACAGAACGAUCAAGUCAAGCACUAUGUCUCAAGUUCUUCUGUCUUACCUUUGUUCUGGAGUUUUUUUAUAAGUCUGCAAAAUAAAACUGAGGCAUUUGCCUUCUUCUCAAAAGAUAUAUAAGUAGAGCUUUAAAAGUUUUAGCAUACUUACUUUGCAUUUUGCUAUGUCAACGCUCGAAGCAAGGGAGAGGAAUGUCAUACUCCUAGAUCAAGACCUUUGACCUUUUUGAAAUGUUUGCCAUCUCUUACUGGCAUAUUGCUUAUUAGAGGGACCAUGGGCUAUCAUUUUUUUUCUUUUUUUUCUCUUUUUUUUCAGUCUCCUUUUUUUUAAGUGGGCAGCAAGUACCCCUAAUUCUACUGUCGGACACAUGUCCAUUUUUUCCACUCAGGUGGGUAUCUUUGUACCCCUAAUUCUACUUCGGACACUUGUCUAUUUUUACCUCUCGUCUCACUCUUUUUUUUUGAAUCAAAUUUUUGCAUAGUCCCAUGCCUUUAACGCAAUAAUACUUCGGAAGAGUGAAUCUUUUAUAUUUUUAAAACAAAAAGAUCUUGAUCUUGGGAGCAUGAUAAUUCUCUCAACCAAAACUACAAGAAUUAACAAUGGCUUAAACAAAGCAAGUGACCACAGCUUUAAUAUUUAUAUCUUAUAAGACUCUAGGUAUUAUGAUCUCAUAUAUAUAUAUAUAUUUUAUGAAUUUUUAGAUUUUCAAAAGAUAAAAUCUCCAGAACUCUAGCAAAACUUGGAACAAGUUAAAUAGUAGCUCAGACCUGCUCAUAUCAUGUUUGUCAAUUACCUAGACUUGAAUCAAACUUUCUUUUUAUUUUAUUUAAAACUUAGGAUUACACAAAACUAUUGUAUAUUACUCAAAAGAAAAACUUUGUUUGGUUUCAUGGUUAUGCAUUUUUUAUUUCCGAAUACUAGUAAAUAAAACUAAGAAAGAAAAGUAAUACUUAUCUAGAUACACGUGGGGGUGCCUCCCCCAAGCUGGAUGUUGACAUAGUCGUUCACUCUUGUGGCCUGCAUGUUCGGUCUCACUCUUCUUAAGCCUCAAAAUCCUGCACAACCCAAAUAGACAACAAAACUCGUGGACCAUGUUAAGGGUUAGGUAAUUGUCUAGAGCUUAUGAGAGCUUAAUAUGAGAAUUCUAUAAACUCAAUCACAUCAAGUUCCUCUACCAGGUUGUUUUGUGGCUCAAGAUAGAUUUUCAAGCGUUGACCAUUUACCUUAAAAGUGUUACCUAUGUCAUUUUAGAUGGUAAUGGCUCCAUGUGUUGAAGUGUCAAUAACCUUGUAUGGUCCAUCCCACUUACUUCGUAGCUUACCAUGCCCAAAGAGCUUAACUCUUGAAUUGAAUAGUAGAACCUUAUCUCUAGGCUUAAACUCCUUGUGCUUGAUUCUCUUAUCAUGCCAUCAUUUUGUUCUCUCCUUAUAGAUCCUUGAAUUGUGGUAGGCUUUCUCUCUCCAUUCUUCUAGCUCAGAUAGUUGCAUCAGACGAUUCUUGCUAGCAAGGUGGAGAUCCAUGUCCCAUUUCUUGAGUGCCCAAUGAGCCUUAAACUCUACUUCCACAGGCAAAUGACAAGUUUUUCCAUAUACAAGUUGAUAAGGUGACAUGCCUAUGGGUGUUUUGAAUGCAGUUCUAUAUGCCCAAAGUGCAUCAGGAAGUUUGUCCUUCCACCCCUUACCCAUCUCAUCUACGGUCUUUUGUAAAAUAUUUUUGAUUUGUUUGUUAGAUGUUUCGGCUUGACCGCUAGUCUGAGGAUGGUAUGGUGUUGCGACGUUGUGUCGAACUCCAUGAUCAGCUAGGUACUUCCGGAAGAUUUUGUCAAUGAAGUGGGAACCACCAUCGCUUAUAACCAUCCGAGGUAUACCAAAGCGAGGAAAGAUUACUUCAUGGAACAUUCUCUUGGCAUGUUUUGAAUUAGCUGAUCGACAAGGUAGGGCUUCUACCCAUUUGGACACGUAGUCCACAGCUACUAAGAUAUACUCGCAAUUCCCGGACAUAGGGAACGGCCCCGUGAAAUCAAUGCCCCAUACAUCGAAAAGUUCUACUUGAAGAUUAUUUGUGAGAGGCAUUUCAUUUCGUGAGUUGAUAUUCCCAUGUUUUUGACAUCGGUGGCAUCUCCUGACAAAGUCCUUUGUAUCUUCAUACAUCGUUGGCCAGAAAAAGCCAUUUUGCCAAAUUUUAGCAUGUGUUCGAAAUGCUCCGUAGUGUCCUCCAUAUGGCGAGGCAUGGCAUCUUUCCAUAAUUUGAGUAGCCUCAGCCAUAGGAACACACCUUCUCAAGAGUCCAUCAGCGCAGACUCGGAAAAGAGAUGGCUCAUCCCAAAGGUGGAAACGACUAUCGUGAAGCAACUUCCUUUUGUUUGCACCAGGUGGGACAUAGCCUUUUACUAUAAAGUUUACGAUGUCCUCGUACCAUGGAUCUGCAUGUGUUAUCUUAAGCAGGGUGUCAUCCCUUAGGUAGUCAUUUAUGGGAAGCUCAUCAUGUGUUUCCUUAUACUGAAGCCUAGACAAGUGGUCGGCUACGGAAUUCUCAACUCCCUUCCUAUCUCGGAUUUCUAUGUCAAAGUCUUGGAGAAGAAGAAUCCAUCGAAUUAGACGAGGCUUAGCAUCUUUCUUAGUGAGGAGGUACUUGAGAGCAGCAUGGUCUGAAUAGAUGAUUAUCUUUGCCCCCACUAAGUAAGAUCUAAACUUGUCUAUAGCAAAGACAACAGCCAAAAGCUCUUUUUCAGUUGUAGUAUAAUUGAGCUGUGGUCCAGACAAGGUUUUGCUAGCGUAGGAUAUGGCAUAAUGCUUUCUAUCCUUGGUUUGUCCUAAAAUGGCAAAAACCGCAAAAUCGCUAGCAUCACACAUGAUCUCAAAAGGAAGAUUCCAAUCAGGUGGUUGGAUAAUCGGGGCUGAGAUGAGUGCUUUCUUAAGAGUUUGAAAAGAUUCAUGACACUCAUCACUAAAGAUGAAAGGUGCGUCCUUAGCUAGGAGAUUAGUUAGGGGUCUAGCAAUUUGAGAGAAAUUCUUGAUAAAGCGUCUAUAGAACCCUGCAUGUCCCAAAAAGCUACGGAUUCCUUUCACAUUCGUGGGAGGUGGAAGUUUUUCAAUAACUUCAAUCUUUGCUUUGUCCACCUCUAUAUUUCUCCCAGUUCAGGAUUAAGUGCUUUUCUUCACAUCGCUGCAAGACUCUAUCUAAAUUCUCUAAACAAUGAUCAAAGGUUUUGCCAUAGACGGUAAAAUCAUCCAUGAAAACCUCCAUGAUUUUCUCAAUCAUGUCUGAGAAAAUAGACAUCAUGCACCGUUGGAAAGAAGCUGGAGCAUUGCACAAUCCGAACGACAUUCGUCGGUAUGCAUAAGUUCCAUACGGGCAUGUAAAGGUAGUCUUUUCUUGGUCAUCUGGGUGGAUUGGGAUUUGGUGAUAUCCAGAAUAACCAUCAAGGAAACAAAAGAAAGAGUGGUUUGCAAGCCGUUCCAACAUUUCAUCAAUGAAGGGUAACAGAAAAUGAUCUUUCUUUGUAGCCUUAUUGAGUUUUCGAUAGUCAAUACACAUACGCCACCCAGUGACAAUUCGUUGAGGGAUGAGUUCAUUCUUCUCAUUCCUAACGACCGUCAUUCCUCCUUUCUUUGGCACUACUUGGACAGGGCUAACCCACUCACUAUGUGGCACAGGAUAAAUAAUCCCAGCACGAUAGAGUUUGAGGACCUCUUUCUUAACAACCUCUCGCAUAGCAUUGUUAAGUCUCCGUUGUGGUUCCCUUGAAGGUGUAGAAUUGGGAUCAAUAGGGAUACGAUGAGUACAGAGAAUGGGACUAAUGCCCGUGAGAUCUUCGAGAGAGUAGCCAAAUGCUGAUCUAUGCCUUUCAAGAACAGUGAUAAGUUGUUGUGUUUCAUAAUCAGAAAGCUUGUCACUCAUAAUUACUGGAGUUUUUGGGUUGUUGUGCAAAAAGACAUAUCUAAGGCCAGAAGGAAGAGGCUUUAGCUCUAUUGAAGGAGGUGAAGGUUGUUCAUUUUUGUCUAGCUCAACGGGUUCUACCAACUCUUCUUCUUCUUGAACAAAGUGUUCAUGAUUAAAGAAUGGUUGGGCCAUCUCCUCUUGAUUCAGCAUUAAGAUCUCCUCAAUAGGAUCUGGUUCAAGUUUGGGUUCCACUAUCGUGUUAAUUGAUCUAGCAAGAGGAACAACAAUAGUGGAAUUCCCAACCUUGAAGUCUAAAUGACCUCGUUGUGGUUGUUCUUGUAGAAGUUUCAUGAUUGGUCUGCCAAUCAAGAGAGGAAUCUCCGGUAUGUCGUAAAUGUGAAAAUCUAGACAUAUUCCUGAGUCCUUGAUUCUAACAGGAACUGCCCUUAAUACCCCAUGGCUUUCUAGAAUUAAUCUAGAUGGACUUUGUAAAAGUUUUUGAGAUGGGGUUAUGGACUCGUAGGGAUAAAGAGUGUCAGCUAACUCCUUGGAAAUAACAUUUAUCCCAACAUAUGGAUUGUAGUGGAUCUUCCUAGCGGACCUUCUAACUUGGCAUAGAAGAAUGGUUGAAGGAGUGAUGAUCCGAGCUAUCUCAGGAGACAGCUCAGCUUCUGUUAGCCAUUCAUAACUCAGAAUAGCCGAAAGGCUUUUGAUGUGUUCUAUGUCAAUAGAUUCUACUCUUAGAACGGAUUGAGUGGUCCCUGCUAGAGGUCAUGUUUGGAUAGGAAAAUUCGAGGUGUUUCCAUAAUCUUCAAAAAGAUCUUCCUCGAAUUCAAAGGGAUGCUCUAAAGGUGGUGGUUCAUCAUCCCUUAGUUGGUUUUGCAUUCCUUUAUCGGGAGGUUUCUCUACAACCAAAUUAAUGGAUGGGUCAGGUGGAAUUUCUAACUCGGUUGCAAGUUCCUCAUCUUUUAGUUUAGGAUCAGGCUCGACUUCUUUUUCUUCUUCAGGAAACUCAUCAUAAAUGCCUGUGUAAGGGGUAUUUUCAAGGAUUCUCUCUAGGAUAGCUCUCCCCUCAUCUGUGAGUUUGUGUGUGAAUGAGCCUCCUGAAGCAAUGUCGAGGUGAAGAGCAGCUUCCUUGUUUAGACCACGAUAAAAGUGGUAGUACAGUACAUGGUCAGACAGGGAAAGGUUUGGACCGGAAUUGGUAAGGCUUGUGAACCUAGCCCAAGCUGCUCCUAAAGUUUCCUUCUCUCUUUGUUUGAAUGUAAGAAUUUCAAUUCUAAGGUCAGCAAUUCAAAAAAGUGGGAAGAAAGCGAGACAAAAGGUGUCCCAAGUUCAUCCCAACUUCCAUUAACGCCUCCUACAGAAUGAGCAUACCACUUUUUUGCUCUUCCCAAAAGGGAGAAUGGAAAUAAUUUCCAUUUAAGGGUUUCUUGUGUCAUGCCAGAAAUAGAUCGGCAAGAGCACAACUGCUCAAAUUCUCUAAGGUGAGUGUAUGGAUCUUCAUCUACUUCCCCAGAGAAGGGUUGCUCCUGAAUCAUGGCUAUUAGAUCAGGGCCGAGGUCGUAGCCAUCUGUAAGAAUUGGAUGUGAUGAUGGUGGUGACUCUAAUAACUCGCCCUUUGGAGCAAAGAAUUUAUAGAUUGGAGUGAAAUCCAUGUGGUAUGGUGAAAAUGGUAAGGUGAGUGUGGUAAAAAGGAAAAGAAAAAGGAUACACGGAUGACUUGGUUCGAAACUAGCACAGCUACCGCUCCCCGGCAACGGCGCCAGAAAGCUUGUUGGGUAAUUUAAACGCAAACAGAAAAAUCCACAAGCGCACGGAUACCGAUGUAGCCUUCACCCGGGAGUAUUCCAGAGUAUCAAUUUUCCACAGAGAACGUGAGUGUACUAACUAAGAUCCAAGAUCGCCCAAGGAUAACUAUAUAAUUAUUUUUAAUGGGAAGAGAGGAAGUUUCCUGAGAGUUCUCUAGUUGAUCUAAGAAUCAAGAAUUACUUCAAAGAUUAUUUAUAUCGGGACAUCAGAGCACUAACCACAGAAAGAGAUGAGAAGGGGGCUAGGAAGGUCUGACUAUGGUCCUACAAACACCGAUCCGAACGAGGUGGAAUACGUCGACCGUUAGGACUGUCACUACCCUAAGGCUACCACAACAAUCCGCAGGAUUGGGUGCAAUUCUAGGUAAUUGCAAGACUAAACACCACGUCUAAUCUAUUAAUUACUACUCUAAUGUUGCAAAGAUUAGAGCACUUGAUGCAAGCGGGAAUCCAAUAAAUAACUUGAAUGUAAAUAAAAGUAAUUAAAGAACUCAGGAUUAUGAAUUGAAGAACCUGGAGAACGAUGAAGAACGAACCAGUUGCUGCAAAAGUACAAUGUUGAGGAAGAUCCGACAGAUCCGGCUCCUCCUCCUCCGCUCUCCUCUUCUCUCUCCCUAUUUUCUAGAUUACAACUAGAACUAACUAGAACUAGAACUAGAGGAACUAGAACUAGAACUAGAUGAACUAGAACUAGAUCUAGAUGAACUAGAGGUAGAACUAGAAGAACUAGAAGAACUAGAGGGAUCCUCUCUACUUGGAUGAAGAAUUGAAACCCUAGCUUUGACUCUGUAGAAGAGGUAUGAUCUCCAAGGGCCAGGGGGCCUUGCUUAUAUAGUCUUUUCAGAUGAAUCUGGGCCGUCGGAUCAAACCGACAUUGAUCGUGUGGUUUUCCUUGAAGUAUUAGGUCGGUGGAGCAUGAUCCCCGAACUUCACCCUGAUUG